UGGCGUCUCCGGUGCAGCCGUGCUUCUUGAGGCGACCGACGUGAUGGCGGGUGUGUAUGGCGGCGACCACAAGCUCUCCGGUGAGCGGCUCCCUCUACUACCCCUAGUUCUCUUUUCUACUCCUAUAGCAUUGCUCUGUUGGUUUAGAACACUAGCAACAGGAGUAGUGAUGUAGGAGUAGUGAAAGCUUCAUGGUUGAUCCGGAUUGCUGAACAUGGGAGAUGUAUCUUCUUUUGUGUAUCAAUUAAAUAGCAGUAUUAUGUAAUGGAACAGUCUAUGUACUGUUAUUUUUAGGUUAGGUUGAAGUGAUUUGUAGGCCUUUGUUAAGAAGCGAGCUUCUUUAAAUUUUUGUUGUUAUUUGCACUAUAUUCCACGCAUGCCUCAUGUGAAUCUGUGAUCGUAUCCAUAGACCAGUGAAUUUAUUGCACUAUUUGCUUGCUGUGAAGUAUUCACUACUAGAAAAAUGGCUGCUAGUGGCGCACCUGUUUUCGAUACUAAUGGCGCAAUACAGGUGCGCCACUAGCACCACGAAAUUAGACGUCAUUAGUAUCUGGUAUACUAAUGGCGCACCGCUGGUGCGCCAUUAGAAUAGCCCACGGUGCGCCAUUAGUAUCUGUAUACUAAUGGCGCACCACAUAGAAGUGCGCCAUUAGUAACAUUAUGUUUUCAGAUUUUUUUUAUUUUUUUUUCAAAAAAACUUUCAAUUUUUUUUUCUUAAUCUCAGUUCACUAAGGCUUAAUCUCGGGUCAAAUCGCACUCCGUGGUGAAACUUCCCGAAAGGUCACCCAUCCUCACACUACUCCAGCCCAAGCACACUUAACUUCAGAGUUCUAUCCAACACCAGCAACAGCUCACUUCACAGGCACUUGUUGAUAUAUCUAGCAUAUCAAUCCUAUUAUACCUUGUUGAUGUCUAGGACUUUGUUCAUGUUCAUGACUAUGAUGAAAUUUUGAAAAAUAUUUCAAACUUCCCGGUCAUAUUACGUAUCAUUUUUUGAAAAAAAAAAUCAAAACCAAUUUUUUUCUGUUACUAGUGGCGCACCACAUCCACGGUGCGCCACUAGUAAGUUUGAAAAUUUUUGAAUUUUUUUGCCUCUAGAUCUUGAAAGCCCCGUAACUUUUUUUCUGUUAGGUUUUUGGGGAUUUUGAAAAUGUUUAACGGGGUUCCCUCCGUUAAAUUUGGAUGUAACUUUUUGAGUAGAUGAUUUUUCAUAUAAAAAACUUUUUCAUCCGAGUUCGUAUGCAAAAGUUAUGCCCAUUUUACAAAUUUCCAGAGAGAUUUUGCAAAUAAAGUCGAAAUUCAUAUUUGUAAAUUUUCCCAACAACUAGACCAUAUAUCACAUGGGAAACUUAUUUUCUUUUAUUUUUUUUUGACAUUUCCAUCAUUUUCUUUUAUUUUUUUUAAAACUGAAAAGGCGAUCCACAAGGGGGGUGCAUUCGGUGUUGGGGCAAGUUAGUAAUGGCGCACCCUGGGGUGGUGCGCCAUUACUAGUUAAAACUAGUAAUGGCGCACCGAGACAUGGUGCGCCAUUAGUAACAAAUAUUUUUUUAUUUUUUUUUACUUUUUUUUCAAAACUACUAAUGGCGCAUGGCGGAUGUGGUGCGCCAUUACUAUGUCAACUACUAAUGGCGCACGGCGAACAUGGUGCGCCAUUAGUAACAAAUUUUUUUAAUGUUUUUUUUCAAAACUACUAAUGGCGCACCACACAUCAGGUGCGCCAUUAGUAAUAUAUUACUAAUGGCGCACCGAGGCAUGGUGCGCCAUUAGAAUAUAGUAAUGGCGCACCACAUGACAGGUGCGCCAUUAGUGACCAUUCCAUCUAUAGCCCUUUUUGUAGUAGUGAUCCAGUAUUUGUUAUAUUAUAUCUUUAAGUAGUAAAAUUGAGAAUGGCAAUCAAAUUCUUCAACUGAACUGCUCUUUCAUUGUACCAUGAGAUACUAACGUUUUGCUAUGUAUAACACUGCUAAAUGUGUUUUUGUGUAUAUAGAAUUGCAUUCAUUUCCUCUUCUUUCAGUAGUUACAUAGCUUGAGGUCAGUGUAUUCUUUUGAAUAGGAUGUACUAUUGUAUGCAGAAGAUCUGAUUUGCACAAACAUAGUUAUCUGCGUGUGUUGCCUGACUUGGUAUUUGUUAUAUCCUGUUGGUUGAAUGGAUGGUGGUGCCACUACAGUGGUAACAGUGGUAGUUUAUUCAGGUUGCUGUGAGGUUAAUCCCUUUGGCAACAUUCUUUGAGAAUUUUGUAGUGCCUCCUUUGGGGUGCCGAUACACUAUUACACAAGUUCUAUGGUAUGUGAGUUGUUGUUGCUGAAAGCAUUGAUACAAUAUGUCAUGUGCAGGGAGCUCCGCAUCUGAGUCUCGUUCAUCCUCCACAGCAAGGAGCUAGGCCAAGGGAGCUAGCAGCGCUACUGGUUUCUUGAGGCCGGAUCGUGUAAGAUGGUGCACCACGGCGUGCGGCGGCCUAUUCUGUUGUAGUGGUAUUGUGUAUAGUCUCAUCCAGCACUGAGUAUCAAUAUGUUGUUUUAAACCUGAUGAUGUUGUAGCAUAAAGUGGUUACUUGUCUGAUGCACAUUGUUCUUUGCGGGGUUAUGAUGAUAUUUCCAAGGAAAUAUACUGACCCUGAUGUGGCUAAGAUGCCCAUUUGCCCUUUGUGAAACAAUUUUACUCUAUUUUAUGUUCUUCCUGUAUGUCCAGUUUCACAUUGCUGGUGUUUCAUGCCAUAUUCAUCAAUCCUAGUCACAUUACUGUUGUUUUUUCAGUAGCAAAUAAAUAGAUAAACUAAAUGUACUAUAUCUUGGUAUUCUAGAACUUCAGUGCCUCACAGAAGUUUCUUUAUAUCCUACUUUAGCUUGCAAACCUGAUGACUUGUUGUCUGUUCUCAUCCUCAACUACACCUGUAUGCACCUUAGUAGUAAUAAAUACAUUGGUCAUGUAGAUAUCAUUGGGAACUAUAUCUGCGUCCAUAUGUUUUUGCCAUCAUUAAAUGUUGUAAGUAGAGGUUAGAAAUGCAGAACUGUGAUGUUGUGCUGGGAGCACCCUUGCUACAGUCAUGGGUUAGGUUUCAGCUUCACAUCUUCUCAGGUUUAACUAUUGGUUUACAUUGAAACUGUAGCAAGUGUCAAAUGAGUGCAUAGUGUGCAAUUUGUCUAGUAAUCUAGGCGCACAAAAGUAUCAGGCCGUAUGUUUUCUUAUAAGCAAACUAUACUGAUGGUUGUAAGAUGAGUUAAAGUAUACUAGUGCUAUCGUGAUUUCAUACUAAAUGUCAUUCAUUUAUUAGUUUGGUGUUCUAUAUGCUUCUAAUGCAUGAUCCUUUCAAUGCUAGGUGAUUUGAUUUCAGAAGUUGGAAGAGGAAGAUGAUGAAGCAUGGUGUUAUUUUAUCAAUCUGCCUCUUGUUCUGGUUGUACUCUGUAGCUAGUUAUAUUGUAAUUGGUAGUAGUCAGCACAUUUAUUGUAAUCUGCCUCUUGUUCUAGUUAUACUGUAAAGACUAUAAUAGGCUGAUUUUGCAUAUCGGUAGUAGUCAGCACAUUUAUUGUAAUCUGCCUCUUGUUCAAGAAUUUAGUUCUGUUCCAUUUGAAAUAUUUGGAGUAUUAUGUGUGUGUUUUGUUUGUGCCAAUUUAAAUACUGGUUAUUUAUUUACUGUUAAAUUGAAAUAUGAAGAAUAUGAACUUG
This 3665-nucleotide long non-coding RNA is filed under the name Triticum aestivum (bread wheat). Its description in RNAcentral is "long non-coding RNA (TAES_LNC003898)". The record is from RNAcentral. Lineage: Eukaryota; Viridiplantae; Streptophyta; Magnoliopsida; Poales; Poaceae.